UGUCCUGUGUAGUAUUGAGUAUAAAAACUAGAACCGCAACUGGUUCCCAAAAGCAAAUUUAGUGUUUCCUUGUUAGAAGAUACAAAGCCAAAGACACAUACGGACUUCGGCAACACCAUGAAAAUUUUGAGAAGCAAUAAGAAGCUUGGUUAGUGUUUUGGAGUCAAAUAUGACUAGAUGUCAUGUGUAUGAUUGAGUAUAAGAACUAGCAUGGCAACCGAUUCCCAAUAGCUAAAGUUAUGUUUCCUUGUUAGAAGAUACAAAGCCAAAGACUCAUACGGACUUCGUGUACACCAUCAAAAUUAU
RNAcentral lists this small RNA (306 nucleotides) under Arabidopsis thaliana (thale cress). RNAcentral's name for it is "ATSL197380". Lineage: Eukaryota; Viridiplantae; Streptophyta; Magnoliopsida; Brassicales; Brassicaceae. The record is from RNAcentral.